UGGGGAAUAUUGCACAAUGGGGGAAACCCUGAUGCAGCGACGCCGCGUGAACGAAGAAGGUAUUCGUAUCGUAAAGUUCUGUCCUAUGGGAAGAUAAUGACAGUACCAUAGAAGAAAGCUCCGGCUAAAUACGUGCCAGCAGCCGCGGUAAUACGUAUGGAGCGAGCGUUGUCCGGAAUUAUUGGGCUUAAAGGGUACGCAGGCGGUUUAAUAAGUCGAAUGUUAAAGAUCGGGGCUCAACCCCGCAAAGCAUUGGAAACUGAUAAAAUUGAGUAGUGGAGAGGAAAGUGGAAUUCCUAGUGUAGUGGAGAAAUACGUAGAUAUUAGGAGGAAUACCAGUAGCGAAGGCGACUUUCUGGACACAAACUGACGCUGAGGUACGAAAGCGUGGGGAGCAAACAGG
RNAcentral lists this ribosomal RNA (403 nucleotides) under bacterium. Its description in RNAcentral is "partial 16S ribosomal RNA". It matches the Rfam family "Bacterial small subunit ribosomal RNA", at positions 355 to 776 of the family's 1533-position model. The record is from RNAcentral.